GACGAACGCUGGCGGCGUGCUUAACACAUGCAAGUCGAACGGAAAGGCCCUGCUUUUGUGGGGUGCUCGAGUGGCGAACGGGAGAGUAACACGUGAGUAACCUGCCCUUGACUUUGGGAUAACUUCAGGAAACUGGGGCUAAUACCGGAUAGGAGCUCCUGCUGCAUGGUGGGGGUUGGAAAGUUUCGGCGGUUGGGGAUGGACUCGCGGCUUAUCAGCUUGUUGGUGGGGUAGUGGCUUACCAAGGCUUUGACGGGUAGCCGGCCUGAGAGGGUGACCGGCCACAUUGGGACUGAGAUACGGCCCAGACUCCUACGGGAGGCAGCAGUGGGGAAUAUUGCACAUUGGGCGGAAGCCUGAUGCAGCAACGCCGCGUGCGGGAUGACGGCCUUCGGGUUGUAAACCGCUUUCGCCUGUGACGAAGCGUGAGUGACGGUAAUGGGUAAAGAAGCACCGGCUAACUACGUG
This 468-nucleotide ribosomal RNA is filed under the name uncultured bacterium. RNAcentral describes it as "partial 16S ribosomal RNA". It matches the Rfam family "Bacterial small subunit ribosomal RNA", at positions 28 to 507 of the family's 1533-position model. The record is from RNAcentral.